GGAUUGUUCUACGGGUUUCUUUUUCAAUCCUCAGAGUUGCAGUAAAGCAAUCAGAGAGAAGCAUAAGGAUAAAGAUCUAAAUACUACACAAUCAUAGUGUGACAGAACAUGAUUAUGAGGUUUUUGCAAUUUUAAAUUUAAAGUAGCAAUGGAUUCAUGAAAACAAAAUUAAAGGAAUAUUAUCUAUCAGCCGAUCGCAACAAUGCAAUGUGUUUUUCUCUAUUAAAUAUCCAAGAUUUAAAAAUGCAGUUUGAACAUUUUCGAUCCGAAAUGUGUGGACCGAGUGUGAUUUUGGAGUACAUGAUUUAGUUGAGUUGAAGUGAGAAAAAUUUUUUCGACAUAAAUAAUAAGAAUAUGAAUGCAGUUAAACGAUGUAAAUGUAUUUAUUUACUAUCUUUGGAAUGUUAUCACUGUUGGAUUAUCACUGUCAGACGUUAUUGACAUUUUUAACGAUACGUAAACAACACAACAGAAAGUAUGUAGACAGACACACUUCGCAUUUAUAAUGUUUGUUGAUUUAUUUAAUCACAGUUGCGCAUACUAUUCCGUUAUCUUUCACAGGACAAACAAUGAUCAUAGUCGUAUCACAGAGACAGCCGGAUGACCACGCGGUAACGCGUUGGCGUGCGCAUAGAAGAACCGGAUUCUCGUCUCAUCUACCGAAAAGUUUUCUUCGGGAUUCCAGGCCUGGCCCAACGAUCCCCGUCGUUCACCAUCCGGUUCCCCUCUACGGGCGUGGAUACAGUCCAUGUUUGAAACUGGCCUGGCCCCUUAAUAAUCUCACUGAUUGGAAAGGGGCAAAAAAUAGCAAAAUAAAAAAAAAUCCUAUAACAGAUUCCCUGACAUGAAAGUUACGGAUAUGGAAAUAUUUUGGAUUGGAGAUACUUGUACAGUACACUCUCGAGUAUCCGGUUCGCGACUAUCCGGC
RNAcentral lists this long non-coding RNA (928 nucleotides) under Androctonus crassicauda. The record is from RNAcentral. Lineage: Eukaryota; Metazoa; Arthropoda; Arachnida; Scorpiones; Buthidae.